UUCAGUUCGGUUGGAGAUUCAGGUGUGUUAUGCUAGCAGCGGCUAAUAAAAUCUCUGCAGCCAGAGCUGAGAUGAUGAACGAACUUCUGAGGUCUGUGUGAUGGACACAGAAUGUACCUGCUACCUGCCUGCAUACAGUAUGGACCUCAGUGACUGACAGAAUUGUGUCCUGUACAGGGUGGUUCCCUGGCUCUCACCUGAUGCAUUUUGGGAUACACUCCAGCGACCCUAACCAGUAGAGAAUGGAUGGAUGCAUGCGGCUUUCAGUUUCUUUGCAGCAAGUGGAACACAGGCAAAACAUCCAGAGAAAUGUUCCAAACCUCAUUUAGUUUAAUCCAUUUACGAAGCUUUUCUGCUUCUCAUAGUCAGCCUCAGUAUGCACUGUGACCAGUAUCAGUAGUUCUGGGGGGCAUUUUAUACCUUUAUUAGAGUCAGCAGAGAGGUAACAAGAUAUGAGGUAAAAAAAAAUUUAAAAAAAAAGAAAAAAAAAGAGGAGGAGUGACACGCAAGGUCUUAUGUCAGACUCAAGCCAGGGAUGAUGUAAUGCCUGUUCCACAACAGACAUUUUGACUUGUAACAGGAAAGUGUCCCACUAAGAAAAAACAAUAAACGUGCAUAACGCGAGGUCUCUCAAACCAAAAUGUAUACCACUUUAUUUAAC
Molecule: long non-coding RNA, 661 nt
Organism: Acanthopagrus latus (yellowfin seabream)
Lineage: Eukaryota; Metazoa; Chordata; Actinopteri; Spariformes; Sparidae
Exons: 3
Source: RefSeq, a predicted model, not a curated record